UCCGCCAGGAUAUUACGAGCACUAGCUUAAAACCCAAAGGACCUGACGGUGCCUUAAACCCCUCUAGAGGAGCCUGUUCUAUAACCGAUAAUCCCCGUUAAACCUCACCAUUUCUGGUCAACCCAGCCUAUAUACCACCGUCGUCAGCUAACCUUGUAAGAGAAUAAAAGUAAGCAAAAAGAGCACAACUCAGAAUGUCAGGUCGAGGUGUAGCAAACGAAAUGGGAAGAAAUGGGCUACAUUUUCUAUAACAGAAUACAACGAAUAUGCAACAUGAAAUAAUGCUUAAAGGAGGAUUUAGUAGUAAAGAGGGA
Molecule: ribosomal RNA, 314 nt
Filed under: Boraras maculatus (dwarf rasbora)
Lineage: Eukaryota; Metazoa; Chordata; Actinopteri; Cypriniformes; Danionidae
Description: partial 12S ribosomal RNA
Rfam family: Bacterial small subunit ribosomal RNA
Source: RNAcentral